This 424-nucleotide unclassified non-coding RNA is filed under the name soil metagenome. Its description in RNAcentral is "partial contains 5.8S ribosomal RNA, internal transcribed spacer 2, and large subunit ribosomal RNA". The stretch from base 1 to 120 matches the Rfam family "5.8S ribosomal RNA", at positions 35 to 154 of the family's 154-position model. The record is from RNAcentral.
GAUGAAGAACGUAGCGAAAUGCGAUAAGUAGUGUGAAUUGCAGAAUUCCGUGAAUCAUCGAAUCUUUGAACGCACAUUGCGCCUUCUGGUAUUCCGGAAGGCAUGCCUGUUCGAGAGUCAUUAACAACCGUUUCGAUCCCUUUCUUUCAGAAAUUACAAAGAGGAAAAGGGUUUGGUUAUGGUGGAGGAGGGAAAGGGAGCGUUUAGCCUGUAAAAAAAGAGGCUGUGUUCCGCCUCCCCCCCAAAAUUGUACAGGCGGUCGUGUGCGCCCACGCAUCGAGGUGUUGUAAAGCUGCCACGGCACUUUUCACCUGUGCAGUGCGAGAUUGGCCAGCCGGUUUAAAAACCCCUCCAAACAAUCAAAGGUUGACCUCGGAUCAGGUAGGGAUACCCGCUGAACUUAAGCAUAUCAAUAAGCGGAGGA